ACAAUGCUAAACCGCAUCAAGUGAUAAAAGCAUUCAAAUCAUAGGUGUUUAUGCCAUAUGUGUCAGCGUUUGCGUUUGGGACUAAUAGGGCGCUUCCCGAGAGUGAUUGAGCAGUGCCAGUCGUGUCUUGAGAUACCACAAACGGUGAAACGUUUAGAUUAUACCGUUACAAAAACUCAGUCCUGCGGCCAUGAAGUGGAGUUUGGCAACCAUCUCUUUUCUUGUUUGCCUGGGUGUGAGCCUUGCUCUGAAUUGCUACGAGUGUGAUAUCGGAACAUGCAAUGACCCAUUCAACAAAGCUCAGGCAAACAACACAGAUUGCGGGUCUGUAAACGACGCAUGCCUGAAAAUCAAAGUUGGAAACUUUGUGCAGCGCCAAUGUACUGUCUCUAUUGGCUGCCUUGGCGCGUUGACCGGUGGGCCGAACAGCUGUAAGACCACUUCUAUUUCAGGAGUAGACACAACAACCUGCUGUUGCACCUCGGCUCUUUGCAACAGCGCCACCACUCGUCGGGUCAACUACGCCGUGGUGUCUGCCACGUUGCUUUUGAUCAAAGCUGCUUUUUAAACAUCAUAGGCAACUCUACUUGCCUAUGGUAUCUGAAGUAAACAUGUAACAAGAAUAGAACAGAUCCUACACAGCUAGAAAGACAAAUUCCAAAUUACGCUGUUUUGAUAUUCCUCCCAGUAAAUUUCCUUCAAAAUUCUUGAAAUAAAUACGUAGUUCAAUCUGCAGUCUUCGAUUUGGUAUAAAAUUAAGGGGGAAAAGCUAACUGAAUAAUUUCUCAAAUUUCUUUAAUGCUUCCUUUUAAUGCAUUGUUCACCCUCAUGAUGAGGAAUGGGACGCGUAGGACUUACUACAGGAGUGAAAUAAAAAGAAUGGAGACUCAAGUCAUCGUGUGAUUUUUUGGUCGGACCACUGAAUUAAAAGUUCAAAGCUUACUGAAAAUAUAAAACCUUUGUAGACUCCCUGGUUGCUCCUAAAUAGGUGUGUUUCUGAUAUCUCCCCUUAAACUACAUUCCUAAUUCAUCUGGGGGUUUUUUGACUGUGACAUUCCAUUAUGUUUCACACAGUUUCUGGAAGUUAACCUUUAAUUGUCUAUUUCUUCAUAAAGGUCUUAGCCCAACUGCUAAUUGAUUCACUUUGUCAUGUUAAAAACUGAUCAAAAAGAAACUUUGCUCAUUCCUUUAUACUCGUGAGGAACUGACUAAUGAAAGCCUAUGACCAACUGGCAUUAUCAAUCCGAAAUCAAGUAAUUUCAAUAACUCUGCAUGCAAGCACGUUUGAGCCAUUUUGGUACGGUGAAAAGCGCAUGCCCGAAAGGAAGCGCUUGUAAGGUCAUUUUGGAACAGCAAUACGCACGUGCCAGGUCUGCCCAAACAGCGCGGCCGUAUGCCGACAGGCGCUCGAGGUUUGUUCUCGAAUGACCUUGCCUUUUUGAAAUAUUGAACUGGCGGAAUGCCCCUCAAACAACAAAAUGAAACGCAUUGAAAUGAUUCAUAUCAACAUCGACUAAGUACUUUUAAGUAAUGUUAAUACUUUAAUUUUUAUAAAGGCUUGGUAUUACUGAAGUUAAACAAUUUUGUAGAAUCCAGGAGACACACACAACCCUUACAAUCUACGAAAACCGAGUCUGAUAACUGAAGUGUACGAUUAGAAUAUUGCAUUAUAAUGUCGAGUUCGAGGCUGGAUCGUGGUCAGGUGCCAGACUCAGUUCCUUAUGCAGACAAUCGAUGGCUAAAGUAAUUAUUGUGUUUUUCUAUUCUCAAGGAAAGGAGCAUUGAUUGGAAAGGUAGUAAAACACAGUUAUAUAACAUCUUGUUUGAUUCUUGAGAAAUGGUUUUGUAUCUCAAGAUUCUGAAAACAUUUUUCCAAGGCGAUAACUUGGUGGAAUAAAACAAAAAGCCUGUUCA
RNAcentral lists this long non-coding RNA (1914 nucleotides) under Acanthaster planci (crown-of-thorns starfish). RNAcentral's name for it is "uncharacterized LOC110982394". The record is from RNAcentral. Lineage: Eukaryota; Metazoa; Echinodermata; Asteroidea; Valvatida; Acanthasteridae.